CAGUCGCCGCGGGAACACGAAGGGUGCAAGCGUUACUCGGAAUUACUGGGCGUAAAGCGUGCGUAGGUGGUGGUUUAAGUCCGUUGUGAAAGCCCUGGGCUCAACCUGGGAAUUGCAGUGGAUACUGGGUCACUAGAGUGUGGUAGAGGAUAGUGGAAUUUCCGGAGUAGCAGUGAAAUGCGUAGAGAUCGGAAGGAACAUCUGUGGCGAAGGCGACUAUCUGGGCCAACACUGACACUGAGGCACGAAAGCGUGGGGAGCAAACAGGAUUAGAUACCCGCGUAGUCCCUGUCUCUUAUAC
RNAcentral lists this ribosomal RNA (301 nucleotides) under uncultured bacterium. RNAcentral describes it as "partial 16S ribosomal RNA". It matches the Rfam family "Bacterial small subunit ribosomal RNA", at positions 509 to 807 of the family's 1533-position model. The record is from RNAcentral.